CCUGACUGCUAUCGGAUUGAUACUAAGCCAUGCGAGUCUUUGCAGUAAUGCAAGGCAUACGGCUCAGUAACACGUAGUCAACUUACCCUAUGGACGAGGAUAAUCUCGGGAAACUGAGCAUAAUACUCGAUAGAUCAUAAUGCCUGGAAUGGUUUAUGGUUGAAAUGAUUCGUCGCCAUAGGAUGGGACUGCGGCCUAUCAGCUUGUUGGUGAGGUAAUGGCCCACCAAGGCGAUUACAGGUACGGGCUCUGAGAGGAGAAGCCCGGAGAUGGGUACUGAGACAAGGACCCAGGCCCUAUGGGGCGCAGCAGGCGAGAAAACUUUGCAAUGUGCGAAAGCACGACAAGGUUAAUCCGAGUGAUUUCUGCUAAAGAAAUCUUUUGCAAGUCAUAAAACCACUAGUGAAUAAGGGGUGGGCAAGUUCUGGUGUCAGCCGCCGCGGUAAAACCAGCACCUCAAGUGGUCAGGAGGAUUAUUGGGCCUAAAGCAUCCGUAGCCGGCUCUGUAAGUUUUCGGUUAAAUCCAUGUGCUCAACGCAUGGGCUGCCGAAAAUACUGCAUAGCUAGGGAGUGGGAGAGGUAGACGGUACUCGGUAGGAAGGGGUAAAAUCCUUUGAUCUAUCGAUGACCACCUGUGGCGAAGGCGGUCUACCAGAACACGUUCGACGGUGAGGGAUGAAAGCUGGGGGAGCAAACCGGAUUAGAUACCCGGGUAGUCCCAGCUGUAAACGAUGCAGACCCGAUGAUGCAUUGGCAUAUAGCCAGUGCAGUGUCGCAGGGAAGCCGUUAAGUCUGCCGCCUGGGAAGUACGUACGCAAGUAUGAAACUUAAAGGAAUUGGCGGGGGAGCACCACUAAGGGGUGAAGCCUGCGGUUC
RNAcentral lists this ribosomal RNA (876 nucleotides) under uncultured archaeon. RNAcentral describes it as "bacterial SSU rRNA". It matches the Rfam family "Archaeal small subunit ribosomal RNA", at positions 21 to 903 of the family's 1478-position model. The record is from RNAcentral.